This 270-nucleotide ribosomal RNA is filed under the name uncultured Oscillospiraceae bacterium. Its description in RNAcentral is "partial 16S ribosomal RNA". It matches the Rfam family "Bacterial small subunit ribosomal RNA", at positions 59 to 339 of the family's 1533-position model. The record is from RNAcentral. Lineage: Bacteria; Bacillati; Bacillota; Clostridia; Eubacteriales; Oscillospiraceae.
AUUGAAGCCUAGCGAUAUGUAAGUUAGUGGCGGACGGGUGAGUAACGCGUGGGUAACCUGCCUUGUACUGGGGGACAACAGUUGGAAACGACUGCUAAUACCGCAUAACAUAUAGAUGUCGCAUGGCAUUUAUAUCAAAGAUUUAUUGCUGAAAGAUGGCCUCGCGUCCAAUUAGCUAGUUGGUGAGGUAACGGCCCACCAAGGCGACGAUUGGUAGCCGGACUGAGAGGUUGAACGGCCACAUUGGGACUGAGACACGGCCCAGACUCC